Molecule: ribosomal RNA, 484 nt
Filed under: uncultured bacterium
Lineage: Bacteria
Description: partial 16S ribosomal RNA
Rfam family: Bacterial small subunit ribosomal RNA
Source: RNAcentral
AUUGAACGCUGGCGGCAGGCCUAACACAUGCAAGUCGAGCGGAUGAAGGGAGCUUGCUCCUGGAUUCAGCGGCGGACGGGUGAGUAAUGCCUAGGAAUCUGCCUGGUAGUGGGGGAUAACGUCCGGAAACGGGCGCUAAUACCGCAUACGUCCUGAGGGAGAAAGUGGGGGAUCUUCGGACCUUCCGCUAUCAGAUGAGCCUAGGUCGGAUUAGCUAGUUGGUGGGGUAAAGGCCUACCAAGGCGACGAUCCGUAACUGGUCUGAGAGGAUGAUCAGUCACACUGGAACUGAGACACGGUCCAGACUCCUACGGGAGGCAGCAGUGGGGAAUAUUGGACAAUGGGCGAAAGCCUGAUCCAGCCAUGCCGCGUGUGUGAAGAAGGUCUUCGGAUUGUAAAGCACUUUAAGUUGGGAGGAAGGGCAGUAAGUUAAUACCUUGCUGUUUUGACGUUACCAACAGAAUAAGCACCGGCUAACUUCGUG